This 76-nucleotide transfer RNA is filed under the name Vicugna pacos (alpaca). Its description in RNAcentral is "tRNA-Cys (ACA) (tRNA-Cys-ACA-1-1)". It matches the Rfam family "tRNA". From Rfam's summary of the family: Transfer RNA (tRNA) molecules are approximately 80 nucleotides in length. Their secondary structure includes four short double-helical elements and three loops (D, anti-codon, and T loops). Lineage: Eukaryota; Metazoa; Chordata; Mammalia; Artiodactyla; Camelidae. The record is from RNAcentral.
GGGGUAGGGUAUAGCUCAGUGGUAGAGUGUGUGCUUACAAUGCACAAGGUCCUGGGUUCAAUCCCCAGUACCUCCA